This 61-nucleotide transfer RNA is filed under the name Lophops carinata. RNAcentral's name for it is "tRNA-Ser". Lineage: Eukaryota; Metazoa; Arthropoda; Insecta; Hemiptera; Lophopidae. The record is from RNAcentral.
AGUUAAUAAGCUUUAAGCAUUAUAUUUUGAAAAUAUAAGAAAGAAUAAAUUCUAUUAACUU